Molecule: ribosomal RNA, 243 nt
Filed under: Actinomycetota bacterium
Lineage: Bacteria; Bacillati; Actinomycetota
Description: partial 16S ribosomal RNA
Rfam family: Bacterial small subunit ribosomal RNA
Source: RNAcentral
AGUUCGGAGAGUUUGAUCUUGGCUCAGGACGAACGCUGACGGUGUGCUUUAGACAUGCAAGUCGAACGAGAAAGCCCUUCGGGGUGAGUAAAGUGGCGAACGGGUGCGUAACACGUGGGUAAUCUACCCCUCGCAGGGGGAUAACCGGGGGAAACCCCGGCUAAUACCCCGUACGCUCCGAGGGCCGCAUGGUCCUCGGAGGAAAGGUAGCUUCGGCCAUCCGGCGAGGGAUGAGCCCGCGGU